UGGAUAUUUCAAAUAUGAAAAUGAAAAUUUACAACUUAUCAAUAAUUGGUGUAAUUGACAUACAUACAUAAACGCUUGGAGAGUGAUGGUCGGGAAAAUGUAUGAAUUUCUUUCAAAUUCUAUGGUUCGACAAUUUCAUUGUUCGUCAUCUAACUUCGCCGACAGAAAGAGGCUCCUGGAGAUACAUUUCAGGUUAUCUUGAGGCAAGUGUCCUGAAACACAAUCAGAUCAAAAACUUUUCUCUACUAAGAAUCUUAAUCCAAAAUCUGCCUCCUUUUAGAGAGAGAGAGAGAUCAAAAAAAUAAAAAAUAAGGUUAAUUUAUGGAUUAACCAUAAUAAUUUGUGAACUUAAACACAAUAUGACGGAUCCACGAAAAAAUCACUCUGUAAAACACAAAUAAAGAGUAAAAAUAGAAGGACUUUUGGAAACAUAUACCUAGAUACGCACGUAUGUUUAUGUAUGUGAAACAUGAAGAACAUACUUAGGUGAAUUAUGUGAAGAUGUUGCCCACCAUUAGAGCGAAGAAGAUAACUAAAAAGACAAUAUAUUUUUUCUUUGUUUCUCUCUUUCCCCAUAUAGAAAACCAUUUAUUUUUGUUUUCUGAGAUUAGAG
RNAcentral lists this long non-coding RNA (613 nucleotides) under Eutrema salsugineum. Its description in RNAcentral is "long non-coding RNA (ESAL_LNC001069)". The record is from RNAcentral. Lineage: Eukaryota; Viridiplantae; Streptophyta; Magnoliopsida; Brassicales; Brassicaceae.